Molecule: ribosomal RNA, 492 nt
Filed under: uncultured bacterium
Lineage: Bacteria
Description: partial 16S ribosomal RNA
Rfam family: Bacterial small subunit ribosomal RNA
Source: RNAcentral
AGUGAACGCUGGCGGUAGGCCUAACACAUGCAAGUCGAACGGCAGCACAGUAAGAGCUUGCUCUUACGGGUGGCGAGUGGCGGACGGGUGAGGAAUACAUCGGAAUCUACUUUUUCGUGGGGGAUAACGUAGGGAAACUUACGCUAAUACCGCAUACGACCUACGGGUGAAAGCAGGGGAUCUUCGGACCUUGCGCGAUUGAAUGAGCCGAUGUAGGAUUAGCUAGUUGGCGGGGUAAAGGCCCACCAAGGCGACGAUCCGUAGCUGGUCUGAGAGGAUGAUCAGCCACACUGGAACUGAGACACGGUCCAGACUCCUACGGGAGGCAGCAGUGGGGUAUAUUGGGCAAUGGUCGCAAGCCUGAUCCAGCCAUACCGCGUGGGUGGAGAAGGCCUUCGGGUUGUAAAGCCCUUUUGUUGGGAAAGAAAAGCAGCAGGUUAAUACCCCGCUGUUCUGACGGUACCCAAAGAAUAAGCACCGGCUAACUUCGUG